UACGUAGGGAGCGAGCGUUGUCCGGAAUUACUGGGCGUAAAGGGUGCGUAGGUGGCCAAGCAAGUCAGAUGUGAAAUCCCCGGGCUUAACUCGGGGGGUGCAUUUGAAACUGCGUGGCUUGAGUGCAGGAGAGGAAAGCGGAAUUCCUAGUGUAGCGGUGAAAUGCGUAGAUAUUAGGAGGAACACCAGUGGCGAAGGCGGCUUUCUGGACUGUAACUGACACUGAGGCACGAAAGCGUGGGGAGCAAACAGG
RNAcentral lists this ribosomal RNA (253 nucleotides) under uncultured bacterium. RNAcentral describes it as "partial 16S ribosomal RNA". It matches the Rfam family "Bacterial small subunit ribosomal RNA", at positions 524 to 776 of the family's 1533-position model. The record is from RNAcentral.